This 427-nucleotide ribosomal RNA is filed under the name uncultured bacterium. RNAcentral describes it as "bacterial LSU rRNA". It matches the Rfam family "Bacterial large subunit ribosomal RNA", at positions 32 to 508 of the family's 2925-position model. The record is from RNAcentral.
CUUGGCAGCUGGAGGCGAUGAAGGACGUGGAAGCCUGCGAUAAGCUUCGGGGAGCUGGCAAACAAGCUUUGAUCCGGAGAUGUCCGAAUGGGGAAACCCACUCAGGAAAACCUGAGUAUCGCACACUGAAUCCAUAGGUGUGCGAGGCGAACCCGGGGAACUGAAACAUCUAAGUACCCGGAGGAAAAGAAAUCAACCGAGAUUCCCUUAGUAGCGGCGAGCGAACGGGGAUUAGCCCUUAAGUUGGCAUUGUUCUAGUGGAACCCUCUGGAAAGUGGGGCCAUAGCGGGUGACAGCCCCGUACACGAAAGGGCAUUGCCGAUGAAAACGAGUAGGUCGGGACACGUGGUAUCCUGAUUGAAGAUGGGGGGACCAUCCUCCAAGGCUAAAUACUCCAGCUGACCGAUAGUGAACCAGUACCGUGAGG